GGAAAUGUCAUGAUGUGGGUGGCUAUCUCUAAUGACUGUAAAAUAGAAAAGAUACUUGUUCCGGGUAAUUCAACCGCUUCAAGGUAGAGACGAAAUUCUCCAUUCUCACAGCAAGCAUGUUAUUGACAGACAGAGGGAGUUAUUUCAGCAAUACAGUACUAGAUCUCACACAGCGAGUUUAACAAUUUGCUACCUUGGAUUUCCAAAUCAGCGGACCUGAAUCCUAUUGAACAUGCAAAUAACUGGAUAAACAUGUGCGUCAGCGUUAACCCUCGAAUCUGAUCCUUGAUCAACUCCG
RNAcentral lists this long non-coding RNA (298 nucleotides) under Mytilus galloprovincialis (Mediterranean mussel). The record is from RNAcentral. Lineage: Eukaryota; Metazoa; Mollusca; Bivalvia; Mytilida; Mytilidae.